This 6725-nucleotide long non-coding RNA is filed under the name Homo sapiens (human). Its description in RNAcentral is "HSALNT0382530". Lineage: Eukaryota; Metazoa; Chordata; Mammalia; Primates; Hominidae. The record is from RNAcentral.
GCGAGCCCGCGCCCCCGUCACCGGGAAACGCCGUAGCCGGCGAUCCGCGGUCGCCCUGGGCUCGGCGCCGGCCCAGCCAGGACCCCGGGAGCGCACGGGACGGGCCUCGCCAGUCACACUCCAGCGCCCCCACGAGCCAGCACAGUGCCUGCUCUCAGUGAAAGGCCACUGUUCUCCUUGGGUGACCCCCAUGAUGCCUGACCGCUCCUCGUGCCUCCUGGAACAGCCAGGGUCCUUAUGAAGUGGUGACCACUCCAGUCAGCAGGGGUGGAAAAUGGUACCAGUCAAACCCGAGGCGGAGGAGGAGCAGCCCGCAGUCGCUGCCGCGAGAUGGAGGAGCCCACGCCCGAGCCCGUCUAUGUCGACGUAGACAAAGGGCUGACCUUGGCCUGCUUCGUCUUCCUCUGCCUCUUCCUUGUCGUGAUGAUCAUCCGCUGUGCCAAGGUCAUCAUGGACCCUUACAGCGCCAUCCCCACAUCCACCUGGGAGGAGCAGCACCUGGACGACUGAGGCACAGCGGCUGUGGGGACUGGACCUGGCGCUCUGUGGGUGGCUGUGCCCCAGGAUGCAUCCGUGUGUUCCCUGCCAGCCUGCCAUCCCACAGAGGCAAGGAAUGAAUCUGGCCACCCAGGGAAACAGAAGGUGCAGCUUAGCCCUCUCAGCCCUCCCUCGAGCACCAGCGUGGAAUGCCCGGGUGCCGUGGGUGUCGCAACCAUGGACCAGCCAGGGGAAAAGAGCCCUGGACCAGGACCCAGGAGGCUGGGGUUCCAGUGUGGGGAGUCCCUGUGAGAUGAUAGGGUAGUCACCUUCCCAGGUUCCUGGGCACCUUUUGGAACUGGAUCCAGCAACAGACACCCCCCAUCCAUCACAUAACAGUGGUCUUGUCUUGAGGAGACUCUCGGUCCUUUAAAUGCAAAGUAGCAAUGGAGGCUCCCAACCAAGAGGUCCCACCUGAACCCCAGCCCCCUCCCCAUGGACUAGCAGUGGUGUGGCAGUGAGGGGGGAAAGCGGGUUGAGGGAGUCUCACCUGAAAAUUCACAAAACGCACAGGAUAUGGGCUGCUUCCAAGCAGUAUUUUUUUAAACUAAAAUAUAGAGGGAUAUAUUUUUCCUGUUAUAAAUAAAAUGUACAUUUUAGAAACUUGGGAAAAUGCAGAUAAAUAGAAAGAAAGGGGGAGGAAAUAACACUUAUAAUCCCACCUCCCGGAAACCACCAUUUUGAUAUAUUUUCUUCCAGCCUUUUUACUUGUAUUUUUUAGUCAAAUUCAUACUCUGUGCAUGAUGUUGUAUCGCCUCAUAUGAUAGCAGGAAUACUUCCCCAUUACAUCAAACACUCUUCUUAGCUGCCAGUUUUAGUGACCGAAGGGCAUCCCAUCGGUUGGGUAGGUCAUGGUUAAAAAAUCAUCUCCUUUGGUUGCAUAUUUAAUUAUUUUCCACUAUUUUUUCCUCACACAAAAUGAUUUCGCCCGGUACCCUUUUUGGGGGUGCACAGUCCAUGAGAUGAAUAUUGAAUGGGGAGACCUGGGUUCUAGUCUCGCAUUUACCAGUCAGGUUACAAUGCGACCUUGAGCAAGUCACUUCACCUCCCAGCGCCUCAGUUUCCUCAUUGUAAGAUAGGAAAAGCCUUGUCAUUUUUAAAAUUUUAUUUUUUGCAUAUACCUCAUGUGAACGAAAGGACAGAAAGGGGAGUGAAUAUACUAUGAAUGUGCUAUAGUCGGAGUUGGGGGGCAAGGAAGAAGUCAUCGAUGAUGGCUCUUCUCAGGCCCUCCCUCCUCCCACCUCUUUCUGCCCUCCACCCCACUCCCACUCCAUCACCUACAUCUAUGACCUUGCAGCAAAAUCAUUAGAGCAGAGCCUACAAAACCGGCCCCAAGUCCCAAUUCCUCUACUUCCUUGUUAGAGGACCCCAAAUAACUCACUCAGCCUCUCUGAGCCCCAAUUUCCUCACCUGUAAAGUGAGGGAAUAACAUCUACCUCGCAAGGUUGUUGUGAGGACGAAAUGAGAGAACAUGGGCAAACAUGAAUGUUCUUGAAUUCACCACCCCAGGAGAAGCCAGGGGUCUGAGCUGGGAGGAGCAGAGGUUCUGGGUGCCCCCUGCCCCUACAGAGCCUGGCACCUUCAGCUUUUCUCAACUUCUGAGGGCUGCUUCCUACAGGCCAAAUCUCCCAGCCGGAACCACUUGGUCAGAGGAACACUCACAGCAGCCUUUCCCAGCACCUGACCUCAAGGGAUAUGGCGUCUACCAAUUUACAUAAUUGCCUUUGUCAUCAGUUUUCCCAUAACAUGGUACGAAGUUAAAUGAGAGCACCUGAGCUCCCCUUCCUCUGAGUGCAUUUAUUCCAUCCCUCCAAGCUGUGGCCUUCCAUCCCCAUCCAAGAGACCUGCAGCUGUGAAGAAGCUCAAGACUUCUUUCUCAUUGCCUGCCUCCCAGCCAUUAGUCCCCACCACAGCCCAGGCCACCUGGAAAAUGGGUUCCAAAGCACUAUCACUACUAGGUGACCCCUGAAUGUGGACAAGGCCACAGCUCUUCAGGCAGCAUUUCAGGGGCUAUCCAGUUGUCAUCCCUCUCAUACCCCUCUCCUACCCACCCCUAUCCCCACUAUUGUGGAAUGCACGAAGGGACAGCUGGCAAAGGCAGUGAACCAAGAUGCAGGGAAGGCCCUGUAUGAUGGGGAGGAUCUAAAGCAAAAGCCUUUUGUGCAUUGCCUCAGGUUCAGCAGCAGCAGCCCUCACUCUGAAGCCUACCUUGAGAAGCCAGGCAUUUCUGUGAAAAGCUCAUCAGCAUGCAUUUACAAUGCAAACUAGAACCAACUCCCAGUCAGCUAAUAACAGACCCCAGGAAAAAGAAAAGGUCUUCCAGACCUCCCCGACACACUUUAGAACCCUCAGGGGUGAAAAAGAGGGUGCUCCAGGGCAGUGCAACUUAAACUGUGGUUGAAGGACAAACAGCCUCUGCAAUACUUGAGGAGCUUGUUAGAAACCCAAACUCACAGCCCCCUCCAGACCUACGUACAGAAUGUAUAUUAGCAAGAUUCGCUAGGUGGUUUAUGUGCACGUUAAAGUUUAAGAAGCACUGCCUGAGAAUCCCUUGGUCCUAAUUAAUUCUUUUCCACACUCAGAUUUGCUAAUGGGUUUCACCUUAUCUCUUGACUCUUGUUUGAUGGCAACAGGAAAUAGUAGCAUUUCAGGAAGGGUGGAAAAUAUAAAAAGCACUCCCAACCCAAGCCUCCAAAAAACAGCAAUUUUCAUUUUGUGUCCAUAUAUUCCCUUCUAAUCAUUGUCCUCAUGCAAGAUUUUUUUUCAUAAAGAUGAUCUGCUACAUAAUUUUAUAUCAUACUCUUUCUCCUAACAUUACAUCACAAGUAUACUUUCAUGUUGCUGCUACAUUCUUCACACUUGUCAUUUUAAUGGCCAUAAAACAUGACAUCUAGUGCACAUAUAUAAUUAUGUAGACUCCUAUUAUUAAAUAUUUGGAUUUCUUCCAUUUUCCCUGUUGUACAUGUUCCAAGCAAAAAAAGAAAGAUCAAGAUAGAUAUGAUGAAGCCGGGGAGCUUGCUUAAGACAGGGGAGAAUAAAUACUUACAGUACACUCUCUCCAUUUAAGAGACACAUGGAGCACAUGGGGGAGGGAGACCUGUCUAAGAACUGGAUCAUAUUAAGGAGAAAAAAGCAACUGGAAUCUCAGGCUUCAGUUGUUGCAUUAUGCUGCUGAAGCAUAGAGGAGAUGGUCCUUUGUGAUCAGAGCGUCUCAACUCGUUUCUGGCAAGCUAAGAUGAACUUUGGGGUUGUGGAUAGAAAGAUAAACUGAUCUGCAAAAGAAAUGCACAGAAGUAUUGAAGGCUAGAAGUUGGCAGACAAGAAAUGAAAAGCAUUUAGAGAAUGGGAGGCCUGUGAAGGUAGCCACAACCCAGGACUUAAGGAGAACACAGGCAAUGGUGCCUAGUGGCCAGUUUUAAGUUGUUGCUUGUACUGUGCUCAGCUACACUCCCUUCAUGUUGCCCCAAGCCCUCUCUAAAGUCUGAUAAAUGAUCCACCACUCUGCAGCAGUGGUCUUUGGGACAAUGAAGACACCUCGGUGGUGGGUCACUUAGGGAAAUACAAUCUGGAAGGGGCCAACAGUCCCAGAGACAAGUGGGGUAGCAGAAAUAUGCAGAACCAAGAGUUCAGAGUGAUGGUCACUAGAAGAAAUGUGGCCUCUAAGGAUGCUCAGACAGGUGGAUAUGUAUAGUAGGACCCUAGCUUUACCAUCCUGGCAUAUCAUUCCCAUCAUAGCUAUUUCAUUUUUUUCCAAUUAGUUGCUGAAAUGUCUACAUGUUCUUAUCGAGUUGAAAGAUCAGUGUCUCCCUGUCUCAUUAAAUUUCCAGAACUUCAGAGGCUAAAUCAAUCCAAAAGGGGCUGGCCCUGCUUUCAAACACCAAGUGAAGAGAACUACAAAGUUUGGUGUGUCCACUAGUGUGGUUUCAUACCCCCUAGGUCUUGCUGUUGAGGACUGGUUCUGCCAGGCAUGAUCAAUGACCACCCACAAUGUCCUGUGGCCCAGCCUGUGGAGAGGUGCCCAAACAGAGUUAUCUGGGUCCACAUCCAUGUGCCCAGCUAUUCUGUCCAAUCAUAGCACAAAGACAGGUUGCCUGUGUCCAGAGGGACACACAGCCUCAGGCACACCAGCCCUUACUUAUGAGCUUGAUGGUCAUCAGCAAAGACUCUCUCCCUUUAGGAGGGUUCUCCUUGGGACUUUUCAGUGUCUUGGCAGGAAAGAGAUGGCACACACGAAGCACUGAUUGAAGACAGUUUAAUGAAAGAAUAUUUACAGAGGUUGGGCAAGGGUAUGGAAAACAACAGGGAACAGUAAAACACCCAGGGAUGACAAGGCAAGGUAGCUCAUGUCUGUAAUCUCAGCACUUUGGGAGGCCAACACAGGCAGAUUGCUUGAGCCCAGGAGUUUGAAACCAGCCUGGCAACAUAAGCAAGAAUCUGUUUAUCUACAAAAAAUAAAAUAAUUAAAAAAAAAUUACCUGGCUGUGGUGUUGCACACCUAUAGUCCCAGCUACUCAGGAGUCUGAGGUGGGAGGAUCACUUGAGUCCAGGAGUUUGAGGUUACAAUGAGCUAGGAUCACACUACUGCACUCCAGCCUAGGCGACAAAGAGAGAUGCUGUCUCUAAAAAUAAAAAACAAAAACAAACUACCCAGGAACAGGCAGGCCACCAACUGUUACCAUCUCUUGCCUAGAGAGACAAGGAGAAGGAUCUAGAACCCAGGGAGAGCUAUAGCCAUGGAGAAGGAGUCACCCAAUGGAAGCCCUGGCCACAGCUAGAGGAUCAAAACUCCUGCACCCACUGCAGCUCAGUAGGAAGAGAGCUGGGGGAAUAAAUACCUUGACCUCUUGCCUCCUGCCCUCCAAUCUCCUGUCUGGGUCUUCCAUUGGCCAAAAACAACAGAAGCUAAAGGUCAGGGGACCCUGGGUGAUACGGUCCACAUAGGCAGCACACUGGAGCAAAAGAAGAAAAACCAGCACAAUUCAUCUUAUUACCACUUAGCAGCCAUUCACAAACUUUGCUUAGAUGGGAGAAAAAUAUUUUGUCCCCGGCACAGGGGAAACAUAAAAUCUCACCAGCAGCCAUAUUGUCUGGGGGUGAUAGCAAUUUAGUCCCACUCCCUCCUGCAACUUAAAUCAUAAUGUAGCCAGUCCCGGGUAAGUGGAACACUUCCUGUAAAGCACAACUGCUAGUGCCCCCUUCUGUGGCUGGUCAUGAGGCCCAGAGUGGUAACUGCAGUCUUGUUCUCCCACCACCCAUUCCAUAGCCCCUCUACUUUCUGGCAGUCCCUUAGCUGUUGGAGAAUUUUAUCUGGUGGAAUGACCCAAAUCUUCAUCCACAGAGGAUUCAAAUUCUUAGUGCCGUGUCUUCAAUGAGUUGCCACAGUAUCCACAGAUUCCUAAAGAACAUGAAGAGGCCUUGAAGAUCUCACCUGGAAGCUCUGUAAAAUUAUCAGAAAGAAUAGCAGGUGCUCUAGGGCAACACUACUCAAACUAUGGUCCACGGAUGGACAGCAUUGGCAUCUCUGGGGAGCUUGUUAGAAAUCUAAUUUCAUGCCCCCACCUCAGGCUUACAGAAUGAGGACAAGGGAUACAGGGAGUACCAAGUGCCCUAGCGAAUCCCAGGGUUCCAAAGCUAGUACUCCUUGCCCCUAUUGUGUAGCAGAAACCCCACUUUCCCUUGGAUAUUGGGGUUAACCAUCCUGACAGUGCAGUGAUCUCUUUCUCUGCCAAUAUUUCAACAUAAGGAGCCCCAGAUGGCACAAGAUCAUCUUCCAAUUUAACAGACCCAUAACUAUAUUCCCUGGUGGAAGCAGUUCCUCUUGGUCACUAGAGAUUUCCAAACCCACAAAACCUAAGGUUUCUUGGUUAAAGGCCAUGUUUGUGGGAUAUGCUGAGAUGAAUAUGCUGUGGUUUGAAUGUGUCCCCCAAAGUUCAUAUGUUGGAAACUUGAUUCCCAUUGCAACAGUGUUGAGAUCUGGGGCCCAAUGAGAGGUGAUUAGGCCAUGAGGGCGGAGUGAAUGGAUUAAUGCAGUUAUCUCAAGAGUGGGUUUGUUAUGAAGGGGGUGUUUGGUCCUCUUUUCUCUCUUGCCCAUGUGAUUCCUUCCACCAUGUUUAUGAUGCAACAAGAAGGUCCUCACCAGAUGCUGGUUCCUUGAUCUUGUAUUUUGCAGCCUCCAAAAUCGUGAGCCA